AGCGAACGCUGGCGGCAGGCUUAACACAUGCCAGUCGAGCGGGCAUCUUCGGAUGUCAGCGGCAGACGGGUGAGUAACACGUGGGAACGUACCCUUCGGUUCGGAACAACUCUGGGAAACUGGAGCUAAUACCGGAUACGCCCUUAUGGGGAAAGGUUUACUGCCGAAGGAUCGGCCCGCGUCUGAUUAGCUAGUUGGUGGGGUAACGGCCUACCAAGGCGACGAUCAGUAGCUGGUCUGAGAGGAUGAUCAGCCACACUGGGACUGAGACACGGCCCAGACUCCUACGGGAGGCAGCAGUGGGGAAUAUUGGAAAAUGGGCGCAAGCCUGAUCCAGCCAUGCCGCGUGAGUGAUGAAGGCCUUAGGGUUGUAAAGCUCUUUUGUCCGGGACGAUAAUGACGGUACCGGAAGAAUAAGCCCCGGCUAACUUCGUG
Molecule: ribosomal RNA, 435 nt
Filed under: uncultured bacterium
Lineage: Bacteria
Description: partial 16S ribosomal RNA
Rfam family: Bacterial small subunit ribosomal RNA
Source: RNAcentral